This is a non-coding RNA of Betaproteobacteria bacterium RIFCSPLOWO2_02_64_14, 104 nucleotides long. Lineage: Bacteria; Pseudomonadati; Pseudomonadota; Betaproteobacteria. The record is from Rfam.
CUACCGACAUCGAGAGGUGUCGGGAUGCGCAUGCAGAAGUCAGCAGAGGGCAUAGUAGGUCAAGGGCGAAACGGCACAACCGAGAAGACCACUGACUGAAGGCC